AGCGAACGCUGGCGGCAGGCCUAACACAUGCAAGUCGAACGAACCUUUCGGGGUUAGUGGCGGAGGGGUGGUGAACAAGUGGGGACGUGCCUGUAGGUUCGGAAUACCUCAGGGAAACUUGUGCUAAUACAGAAUGUGCCCUUCGGGGGUAAGAUUUAUCGCCUUUAGAGUGGCGGGCGUCAGAUUAGCUAGUUGGGUGAGGUAAUGGCACACCAAGGCGAGGUGGAGUAGCUGGUGUGAGAGGAGGAUCAGCCACAUUGGAGAUGCGACACGGCCCCAAAUCCUACGGGAGGCUGCAGUGGGGAAUCUUGCGCAAUGGGCGAAAGCCUGACGCAGCCAUGCCGGGUGAAUGAUGAAGGUCUUAGGAUUGUAAAAUUCUUUUACCGGGGACGAUAAUGACGGUAACCGGUAAAGAAGCCCCGGCUAACUACGUG
RNAcentral lists this ribosomal RNA (434 nucleotides) under uncultured bacterium. Its description in RNAcentral is "partial 16S ribosomal RNA". It matches the Rfam family "Bacterial small subunit ribosomal RNA", at positions 29 to 507 of the family's 1533-position model. The record is from RNAcentral.